AGUGAACGCUGGCGGUAGGCCUAACACAUGCAAGUCGAACGGCAGCACAGUAAGAUCUUGCUCUUACGUGUGGCGAGUGGCGGACGGGGGAGGAAUACAUCGGAAUCUACUUUUUCUUGGGGUAGAACGUAGGGAAACUUACGCUAAUACCGCAUACGACCUACGGGUGAAAGCAUGGGAUCUUCGGACCUGGCGCGACUGUAUGAGCCGAUGUCGGAUUAGCUAGUUGGCGGGGUAAAGUCCCACCAAAGCGACGAUCCGUAGCUGGUCUGAGAGGAUGAUCAGCCACACUGGAACUGAGACACGGUCCAGACUCCUACGGGAGGCAGCAGUGGGGAAUAUUGGACAAUGGGCGCAAGCCUGAUCCAGCCCUACCGAGUGGGUGACGAAGGCCUUCGGGUUGUAAAGCUCUUUUGUUGGGGAAGAAAAGCAGCAGGUUAAUCCCCCGCUGUUCUGACGGUACCCAAAGAAUAAGCACCGGCUAACUUCGUG
Molecule: ribosomal RNA, 492 nt
Filed under: uncultured bacterium
Lineage: Bacteria
Description: partial 16S ribosomal RNA
Rfam family: Bacterial small subunit ribosomal RNA
Source: RNAcentral